Molecule: long non-coding RNA, 3263 nt
Organism: Pseudopipra pipra
Lineage: Eukaryota; Metazoa; Chordata; Aves; Passeriformes; Pipridae
Exons: 3
Source: RefSeq, a predicted model, not a curated record
UGUCCCCUCCUCCCACUCUGCUGCGCCCGCCCGGGAGCUGGCAGUGCUCACAGAACUGCUGUGAGUGGGCCAGGCAGAUAGGAACCGUGCCAAGGCCUUCUGGUUGACCUGGGAAGAGUAAAAAUGUUGAGCUCAGGAUGGAAUUAAAAAAAAAACCUAGUUGGAGGAAGUUCUGAGGGAUCAGGCAGAGAGGUCUGAGAGCUCGGCGGCACCGCCAGAAAUAGCUCCAAAAACGGGGCUGGCGCUGAGAAAACCUUCAGAGCUCUGUGGCUGCUGCUGCAGGGGGGGCAGGGGGGGACAGGAGCACUGUGAUGCCACAGCUCAUGGUGAGGGCUCAGUCUGCCUUGAGGAAUUCACCUAUUUAACAUCCUGCAUGUUUAAAGGUCAACUUGCAUUUGGAGGUCGACUUGCUUUUGUUGGCUUGUCUUUGGGUGGGCUCAAAAGGUGUUUGCAUCCACUUUAAAAGAACCAACACCAUAAGCAAAUCAAACACAAUCUUCACAGGAAAUUUUGACAUAAUGACUGUGACUCAGCUUAUUAAUAUUAGCGGUGUUAUGUCACUGUUGGUCUCAAUGCUUUCUCCUUUUCUUGCCUUGUGAGUGUGCUGCUGGGCAUUGAUGGAGAGAAAAGAAUUGUCAGGUACGAAGGUGAAAACCCAAAUGUUCCAAAUACAGCAUAAGAAGGGUCUCCACUGAGCCCCACUCUGGGAGCAGUCACCUGCCAUGGUGCUGCUUAAAACCAAAACAGGGCCUCAGGAGUCAGGGGUGCAUCCCCUGGGAACGGCCUCACCAGUGGUCAGGAACAGCCAGGGAGCAGCUCCAAGAUUUAAUUGAAACUUAAAUGGUUUGUGUUAUGAGCAAUGUAGUCUGGGUAAGGACUGCAGCCACAGAAGUGGGGUCAGAAAGUGCAAAAAUUACACAGAAAAUUCAUGGCUUGGUGAUGGCUGGGAUGGACAUAAGUCAUGGUCAGGCUGAGCAAAAAUUAAAUAUAUCUGCUCAUUUAAGCAAGGCAGAAGUUCUUUGUGUUGUUGAUUUUAUUUUUUCUUAACAAACACAACUGAAACGUUUUAUUUUGAUUUUAUAUUUCUGUGGGGUGAUUUUGGCAAAAUUCAAAUGAACUUGUGGGAAAUUCCCUUUUAAUCUAACUCGUAUUUUCUGAGACAAAAACGCUGAGAUGAGACAGUUCCAUACACCUCCUAUUUCAACGUUUGUUUGAGUUAUUUGAGACAAACUAUGCUCUGCACAUUCAGGUAUUUGAUUCCAUCUUUCAUGAUGUAACUGAGUGAUUCCUGCGUGUUUUCACGGCCAGGCACCAGCACUGGUGGGUACGAGGUGCAGGUGACAGAAGCCAUGAGAGCAAUGCCAGUUUAUAUGACUUUCCAGUAGGUACCUAAACAAGUAGGACUGUCAGCAGCCAUCCCUGAUGUCCAGUAACAUGGUCUGAAGCCCUGUAAAUGCAGGAUGAGUGUGCAGCCCUUCCCAGGGUGACACGCGUCGAUCCUAGCGGAGCGGGGCUGCCUGGGAAGUGAUCCAGCUCCUGCAGGAGCUUGUCCUGCAGUUUACAUCAACUCCUUCCAACCUUUUUUUUUUUUGUGUUACUGACAAAGGAACUGCUUCAACCAGCAAAACUUAAUAAUUAUAAAGGAAUUACAGUAUAUACUUUGUUUGCCUUGUGGCUGAGGAAAGUCCAUUUGCUGUCAUCAGCCAUUUUUGCAGGGAAUGCAGCUCCAAGUCUUGAAGGCUGUCCUGUCCAUGACAGGCACUGUUGGCUUUCAUCUCCAAACAUUGUGUAUAGAUAAAUAACUUAUCUUUGUAUAAGAGAAAUAACUUAUGAAACAGGAAAAUUCUGAAGUAGCCAGAAUAAGGUUGUGAGAUGGGAGGGUGUAGAAGUGUGAAGAAAUUAAUACAUUUUGGUGAAGAAGGAAUCCUUUCUAUAAGCUGAUCUAGAAAUACAGUGGUAUCCAAUAUAUUAACCUUGUCCCUUUCCUUACAGCCCCUGAUACACGGUUUAUAGUCAGAAGAGACAUGAGAUGAAGGCAAGGCUGGGAAAUCUCCUCUCUUGGAAGGGGGAUGUGGUUCUCCUGGAGCAGCAGUUGAUGCUCUGCACACCCAGCAUCUCCAGCCGUGGUGGGCAAUGGCCAUGGGAGAGCUCUCACUUGCGUGUCUGAGGUGACAAAGGGACACCACAGGGAAAAGUGGAAUAAAGAUGAUUGAGUUAGUCCUGAAUCCAAGUAUCAUGGCUGAUGAGCUAAAAAAAACCAAAAAACCAACCAAACAACAACAACAAAAAAACUAAGAAAAGAAAAGGAAAAAAAAAAAGAGAGAAAAAAACCUGUGGCUGUGUUCACUGCAAGUUUGUGGUCAGUAUUUCCCAGGCUGCCUCGAGGUGAGGCCUUCCAACAGACUGCUUGGAAAUCUCAGGACACGAGGACAUGUGAAUUCCUCCAUUUCCUUCACUGCCUCCCGAUCAGUGCCUUGCCUGGGAACCCUCAUCUGUGCCAUCCCCUGGCCUCGACUGUGGGUGCUCCCUGGACUCUGUACCUGAGGUGGUGUCGAUCUCCCCGUCCUGCUCCUUGUAGCUGUAGGUGCUGCACAUGGUCUGGGUGCCCGACUCGUUGGUGAGAAAGCCCUUCCCACCAAUGCUGGUGUUGUGCCAGUCUUGGGCUGGUACAAGCAGCUGGAAGAGAAGUAGAUGGUUAAAAACUUCUUCCUGCCACGGGUGCAAUGCCUGAUUCCUUGCCCUCAAUCAGAUGACAGAACCUGCUUCAUAUUCUCUUGUCACACACCACCACUGCCCUUAACUCCUCCCAUCCCAGACUCCUCACAGCCCUUCAUCUCUGAUGCUCUUCAACAACUGUAUGUUGGGAUCUCUGACACCAGCUCUGACACCUGCCCAGGACUCAACAGAGCAGAGCCCACUUGGCAUGGAAGGUGAUAGGAGGAAGAUGAUUUGCACCCCAGGGGAGGAACCACUCUGAUCUAUGCAUGUUAAUCACUUUUUCCCCACUGGGAAGCAGGGCUGCCUCCACUGUCACUGCUGGAGCAGUGGCAUUUCAGAGCCUUUCAGCCAUGAGCAGGUGGCAGCUCUUCCCCUCUGCACCCCGGCCAGUUUGGUAACUCCAAAUACCCAAAUCUAUCAGGUGGAGGUUGGUUUUUCUGCAAAACAACUGAUUUCUCCUGCUGCCUUGGGUACUCCUUCAUCCCUCUGCCUCCUGCAGACCAGUGAAAGAUUGGGGUAGGAAAAAAGCAAUGCCCACCUUCGGA